UCUGCUCAAUGUUAUCAAAUAAAUAGCUGCAUUUUUGUACUAAGGUAGCAUAAUAAUUUGCCUUUUAAUUGAAGGAUAGUAUGAAUGAAAUAACAAAAAAUAUGCUGUCUUUAUAUUAAACCUAAAAAUUAAUCUAAAAGUGAAAAAGCCUUUAUUCAAUAAAUAGACAAGAAGACCCUGUUGAGCUUUCUCUAAAAAUUCAUAAUUAGAUUUUGUUGGGGCAACAUUUAUUUUCAUAACCAAUUUUUAUAUUUUUAGAACAAAUUCAUUUUAUUUAUCUUAUUUUAUAAAAAAUUAAUAAGUUACCACAGGGAUAACAGGCUAAUUUUUUUAAAGAGUUCAAAUUAACAAAAAAGUUUGGCACCUCGAUGUUGGCUUAAAGUUUCUUUUAAAUGCAGCAAUUUAAAUAGUUGGUUU
This 417-nucleotide ribosomal RNA is filed under the name Notopharyngoides aruensis. Its description in RNAcentral is "partial 16S ribosomal RNA". It matches the Rfam family "Bacterial large subunit ribosomal RNA", at positions 1858 to 2578 of the family's 2925-position model. The record is from RNAcentral. Lineage: Eukaryota; Metazoa; Annelida; Myzostomida; Myzostomatidae.